This 497-nucleotide ribosomal RNA is filed under the name uncultured bacterium. Its description in RNAcentral is "partial 16S ribosomal RNA". It matches the Rfam family "Bacterial small subunit ribosomal RNA", at positions 28 to 507 of the family's 1533-position model. The record is from RNAcentral.
GAUGAACGCUGGCGGCGUGCCUAAUACAUGCAAGUCGAGCGAACGGACGAGAAGCUUGCUUCUCUGAUGUUAGCGGCGGACGGGUGAGUAACACGUGGAUAACCUACCUAUAAGACUGGGAUAACUUCGGGAAACCGUAGCUAAUACCGGAUAAUAUUUUGAACCGCAUGGCUCAAAAGUGAAAGACGGUCUUGCUGUCACUUAUAGAUGGAUCCGCGCUGCAUUAGCUAGUUGGUAAGGUAACGGCUUACCAAGGCAACGAUGCAUAGCCGACCUGAGAGGGUGAUCGGCCACACUGGAACUGAGACACGGUCCAGACUCCUACGGGAGGCAGCAGUAGGGAAUCUUCCGCAAUGGGCGAAAGCCUGACGGAGCAACGCCGCGUGAGUGAUGAAGGUCUUCGGAUCGUAAAACUCUGUUAUUAGGGAAGAACAUAUGUGUAAGUAACUGUGCACAUCUUGACGGUACCUAAUCAGAAAGCCACGGCUAACUACGUG